This 503-nucleotide ribosomal RNA is filed under the name Fusarium cf. solani ATS14. Its description in RNAcentral is "eukaryotic LSU rRNA". The stretch from base 128 to 281 matches the Rfam family "5.8S ribosomal RNA". Lineage: Eukaryota; Fungi; Ascomycota; Sordariomycetes; Hypocreales; Nectriaceae. The record is from RNAcentral.
CUGUGACAUACCUAUAACGUUGCCUCGGCGGGAACAGACGGCCCCGUAACACGGGCCGCCCCCGCCAGAGGACCCCCUAACUCUGUUUCUAUAAUGUUUCUUCUGAGUAAACAAGCAAAUAAAUUAAAACUUUCAACAACGGAUCUCUUGGCUCUGGCAUCGAUGAAGAACGCAGCGAAAUGCGAUAAGUAAUGUGAAUUGCAGAAUUCAGUGAAUCAUCGAAUCUUUGAACGCACAUUGCGCCCGCCAGUAUUCUGGCGGGCAUGCCUGUUCGAGCGUCAUUACAACCCUCAGGCCCCCGGGCCUGGCGUUGGGGAUCGGCGGAAGCCCCCUGCGGGCACAACGCCGUCCCCCAAAUACAGUGGCGGUCCCGCCGCAGCUUCCAUUGCGUAGUAGCUAACACCUCGCAACUGGAGAGCGGCGCGGCCACGCCGUAAAACACCCAACUUCUGAAUGUUGACCUCGAAUCAGGUAGGAAUACCCGCUGAACUUAAGCAUAUCAA